UUGGAGGGCAAGUCUGGUGCCAGCAGCCGCGGUAAUUCCAGCUCCAAUAGCGUAUAUUAAAGUUGUUGCAGUUAAAAAGCUCGUAGUUGAACCUUGGGCCUGGCUGGCCGGUCCGCCUCACCGCGUGUACUGGUCCGGCCGGGCCUUUCCUUCUGGAGAUCCCCAUGCCCUUCACUGGGUGUGCGGGGGAACCAGGACUUUUACUUUGAAAAAAUUAGAGUGUUCAAAGCAGGCCUUUGCUCGAAUACGUUAGCAUGGAAUAAUAGAAUAGGACGUGCGGUCCUAUUUUGUUGGUUUUUA
Molecule: ribosomal RNA, 300 nt
Filed under: fungal sp.
Lineage: Eukaryota; Fungi
Description: SSU rRNA
Rfam family: Eukaryotic small subunit ribosomal RNA
Source: RNAcentral